This 330-nucleotide unclassified non-coding RNA is filed under the name uncultured fungus. RNAcentral's name for it is "partial contains small subunit ribosomal RNA, internal transcribed spacer 1, and 5.8S ribosomal RNA". The stretch from base 1 to 73 matches the Rfam family "Eukaryotic small subunit ribosomal RNA", at positions 1759 to 1831 of the family's 1831-position model. The record is from RNAcentral. Lineage: Eukaryota; Fungi.
ACAAACUUGGUCAUUUAGAGGAAGUAAAAGUCGUAACAAGGUUUCCGUAGGUGAACCUGCGGAAGGAUCAUUAUUGAAACAUUGUAAAGAAAGGUUGAGCUGGCUCUUCACGGGCAUGUGCUCGCCUCUCUUUCAAUCUUCAUCCACCUGUGCACUUUUUGUAGAGAGACUGAGAAAGGGAGCCUGCUCCCAAGUAUCGGGCUUUCUAUGUUUUACACACUCUUAAAUGCAUGUUUUGAAUGUCUUUUAUAGGGACUUAAUUGACCCUUUAAAAACUAUACAACUUUCAACAACGGAUCUCUUGGCUCUCGCAUCGAUGAAGAACGCAGC